This 468-nucleotide ribosomal RNA is filed under the name uncultured bacterium. RNAcentral's name for it is "partial 16S ribosomal RNA". It matches the Rfam family "Bacterial small subunit ribosomal RNA", at positions 28 to 507 of the family's 1533-position model. The record is from RNAcentral.
GACGAACGCUGGCGGCGUGCUUAACACAUGCAAGUCGAACGGAAAGGCCCUGCUUGUGUGGGGUGCUCGAGUGGCGAACGGGUGAGUAACACGUGAGUAACCUGCCCUUGACUUUGGGAUAACUUCAGGAAACUGGGGCUAAUACCGGAUAGGAGCUCCUGCUGCAUGGUGGGGGUUGGAAAGUUUCGGCGGUUGGGGAUGGACUCGGGGCUUAUCAGCUUGUUGGUGGGGUAGUGGCUUACCAAGGCUUUGACGGGUAGCCGGCCUGAGAGGGUGACCGGCCACAUUGGGACUGAGAUACGGCCCAGACUCCUACGGGAGGCAGCAGUGGGGAAUAUUGCACAAUGGGCGGAAGCCUGAUGCAGCAACGCCGCGUGCGGGAUGAAGGCCUUCGGGUUGUAAACCGCUUUCGCCUGUGACGAAGCGUGAGUGACGGUAAUGGGUAAAGAAGCACCGGCUAACUACGUG